CAAAUCGCCUAUAGGGGGGGAAAUCCUUCGAAAGAAAAAACCUAUCCCUUCAGAUCCAUUGCGAUGGUUGAGGCCGGAGGCGAUUGAUUCUAGUUCUGGUCAGAUCCCGUCGACAGGUUUCCCCUGUCGGAUCUUGGCGGCGGCGAGUCCAUACUGGACGCAGAAGCCACCCAAACUCUGGUUUGCACAACCGCCCAGUCCAGCAUUGGUGAUGUGGGCGCCGCGGUCGUCACACUACAGUUAAAGUUGAACAGCACUUGCGAGGGGCUGAGCUUGUCGGCGCCCAACUCAAAGCAGUCAAUCGGGAAGGAUCAUCCUCAGGCACUGGGCUGGACGAAGAGGUCCGAGUUAGUCGUGCACCUCUUGAACGACCACUUUGCUGGCAGAAUAAGUGUUCUGGAGAAAACAUUGACAUGUUGUGCAUAGAAGAAGACUGACAUUGUCAUAGUUCCUACAGUCGGAAACAACUUUGAUUCGCUUGGAGAAGCAUAUGACUAUCACAGUAUGUAUUCCAGGGAAAUUGGGUUUGGAAUUAAGUACAAAAAAAGCGGACUGAACAUUGAGAGAACAAACUGUAUGCAGGAGAUAGUCUGCGGCUGUUCGGGGUCCAAAAAGAAGCAACACACGGUCUUGUCGAUGUAGGUGCCCAGUGAUGAUACGGUUGCUCCGGUUAAAAGACAACGGCUAGUACACAAGCGAGCACAGGACAUCCCACAAUCACUCUCUUACAGAUAAGUAUGCAUGCGGCGUCUCAAUUAAUGAUGCUAUUCGGGCACAAAUCAUGGAUUUUAUGGGAGUCACGGAGACACACCAGACAGGGGUGACUUACCGAAGAAACUGAUGAGGUAGCUGAAAUGCACCAACUGUGGCGUAUGUGGUGACCGGCGAAAUACGUGUGGAAACCCAAGUAUGGUGCUUCGUGCAGUGUCUCCUACUGAAACAACAAUCCGGCUGGAGGGGACAGUUAGGUAUUUAGCUUUGUUUCUAGUUUUGCGUCCAAUUUGUACAAUUUGAUGUUGGCUUGUGAGCUAGUAGAAUUUUCCUAAAACUGUGUACAUUUUACGUAACCGUGUGUCACACGGAAAAUAAGCCACCCCUGGUAAUCGGCGUGGUGAAGUAUUGUGAAAAAUGAUGA
Molecule: long non-coding RNA, 1135 nt
Organism: Triticum dicoccoides
Lineage: Eukaryota; Viridiplantae; Streptophyta; Magnoliopsida; Poales; Poaceae
Exons: 5
Source: RefSeq, a predicted model, not a curated record